This 254-nucleotide ribosomal RNA is filed under the name uncultured bacterium. Its description in RNAcentral is "partial 16S ribosomal RNA". It matches the Rfam family "Bacterial small subunit ribosomal RNA", at positions 524 to 776 of the family's 1533-position model. The record is from RNAcentral.
UACGUAGGGUGCGAGCGUUAAUCGGAAUUACUGGGCGUAAAGCGUGCGCAGGCGGUUUUGUAAGCCAGAUGUGAAAUCCCCGGGCUUAACCUGGGAAUGGCAUUUGGGGACUGCAAGGCUGGAGUACGGCAGAGGAGACUGGAAUUCCUGGUGUAGCAGUGAAAUGCGUAGAGAUCAGGAGGAAUACCGAUGGCGAAGGCAGGUCUCUGGGCUGAUACUGACGCUCAUGCACGAAAGCGUGGGGAGCAAACAGG